CGUAGGUGACAAGCGUUGUCCGGAAUUAUUGGGGCGUAAAAGGGAGCGCAGGCGGUUGGAUAGUCUGAUGUGAAAGCCCACGGCUUAACCGUGGAAGGUCAUUGGAAACUGUCCAACUUGAAUGCAGAAGAGGUAGUGGAAUUCCAAGUGUAGCGGUGAAAUGCGUAGAUAUUUGGAGGAACACCAGUGGCGAAGGCGACUUACUGGUCUGUGAUUGACGCUGAGGCUCGAAAGCGUGGGGUAGCAAACAGGAUU
This 255-nucleotide ribosomal RNA is filed under the name uncultured bacterium. Its description in RNAcentral is "partial 16S ribosomal RNA". It matches the Rfam family "Bacterial small subunit ribosomal RNA", at positions 526 to 779 of the family's 1533-position model. The record is from RNAcentral.